AACGAACGCUGGCGGCAUGCCUAACACAUGCAAGUCGAACGAGACCUUCGGGUCUAGUGGCGCACGGGUGCGUAACACGUGGGAAUUUGCCUCGGGGUAUGGAAUAAACUCAGGGAAACUUGAGCUAAUACCAUAUAAUGUCUUCGGACCAAAGAUUUAUCGCCCUGAGAUAAGCCCGCGUAGGAUUAGCUAGUUGGUGGGUAAAGGCUCACCAAGGCGACGAUCCUUAGCUGGUCUGAGAGGAUGAUCAGCCACACUGGGACUGAGACACGGCCCAGACUCCUACGGGAGGCAGCAGUGGGGAAUAAUUGGACAAAUGGGCGCAAGCCUGAUCCAGCAAUGCCGCGU
This 348-nucleotide ribosomal RNA is filed under the name uncultured bacterium. RNAcentral's name for it is "bacterial SSU rRNA". It matches the Rfam family "Bacterial small subunit ribosomal RNA", at positions 29 to 402 of the family's 1533-position model. The record is from RNAcentral.